Molecule: ribosomal RNA, 358 nt
Filed under: uncultured bacterium
Lineage: Bacteria
Description: bacterial SSU rRNA
Rfam family: Bacterial small subunit ribosomal RNA
Source: RNAcentral
CGACGAUUGGUAGCCGGACUGAGAGGUUGAACGGCCACAUUGGGACUGAGACACGGCCCAGACUCCUACGGGAGGCAGCAGUGGGGGAUAUUGCACAAUGGGGGAAACCCUGAUGCAGCGACGCCGCGUGGAGGAAGAAGGUUUUCGGAUUGUAAACUCCUGUCGUUAGGGACGAUAAUGACGGUACCUAACAAGAAAGCACCGGCUAACUACGUGCCAGCAGCCGCGGUAAAACGUAGGGUGCAAGCGUUGUCCGGAAUUACUGGGUGUAAAGGGAGCGCAGGCGGACCGGCAAGUUGGAAGUGAAAACUAUGGGCUCCACCCAUAAAUUGCUUUCAAAACUGCUGGCCUUGAGUAG